Gallibacterium salpingitidis is the source of this 1337-nucleotide ribosomal RNA. It matches the Rfam family "Bacterial large subunit ribosomal RNA", at positions 1543 to 2864 of the family's 2925-position model. The record is from Rfam. NCBI's taxonomy places the organism in Bacteria, Pseudomonadati, Pseudomonadota, Gammaproteobacteria, Pasteurellales, Pasteurellaceae.
CGCACCAUUAAUGCUGAGGCGUGAUGAGGAGUGACUACGGUUGCGAAGUUGUUGAUGCCAAGCUUCCAGGAAAAGCUGCUAAGCAAAUUAUCUAAUAAACCGUACUGAAAACCGACACAGGUGGUCAGGUAGAGAAUACUAAGGCGCUUGAGAGAACUCGGGUGAAGGAACUAGGCAAAAUAGCACCGUAACUUCGGGAGAAGGUGCGCUGGCGUAGUGUGAAGUCUGUACAGAUGGAGCAUGAACCAGUCGAAGAGACCUGCUGGCUGCAACUGUUUAAUAAAAACACAGCACUCUGCAAACACGCAAGUGGACGUAUAGGGUGUGACGCCUGCCCGGUGCUGGAAGGUUAAUUGAUGGUGUCAUCGCAAGAGAAGCACUUGAUCGAAGCCCCAGUAAACGGCGGCCGUAACUAUAACGGUCCUAAGGUAGCGAAAUUCCUUGUCGGGUAAGUUCCGACCUGCACGAAUGGCGUAAUGAUGGCCAGGCUGUCUCCACCCGAGACUCAGUGAAAUUGAAAUCGCCGUGAAGAUGCGGUGUACCCGCGGCUAGACGGAAAGACCCCGUGAACCUUUACUAUAGCUUGACACUGAACCUUGAAUUUUAAUGUGUAGGAUAGGUGGGAGACUGAGAGAGACUGACGCCAGUUGGUAAGGAGUCGAUGUUGAAAUACCACCCUUUAACGUUUGAUGUUCUAACGAGGUACCUGGAACAGGUAUUCGGACAGUGUCUGGUGGGUAGUUUGACUGGGGCGGUCUCCUCCCAAAGAGUAACGGAGGAGUACGAAGGUUUGCUAAUCACGGUCGGACAUCGUGAGGUUAGUACAAUGGUAGAAGCAAGCUUGACUGCGAGACGGACGUGUCGAGCAGGUACGAAAGUAGGUCAUAGUGAUCCGGUGGUUCUGAAUGGAAGGGCCAUCGCUCAACGGAUAAAAGGUACUCCGGGGAUAACAGGCUGAUACCGCCCAAGAGUUCAUAUCGACGGCGGUGUUUGGCACCUCGAUGUCGGCUCAUCACAUCCUGGGGCUGAAGUAGGUCCCAAGGGUAUGGCUGUUCGCCAUUUAAAGUGGUACGCGAGCUGGGUUUAGAACGUCGUGAGACAGUUCGGUCCCUAUCUGCCGUGGGCGAAGGAGAAUUGAGGGGGGCUGCUCCUAGUACGAGAGGACCGGAGUGGACGCACCGCUGGUGUUCCAGUUGUCAUGCCAAUGGCAUUGCUGGGUAGCUAAGUGCGGGAGAGAUAAGUGCUGAAAGCAUCUAAGCACGAAACUUGCCCCGAGAUGAGUUGUCCCAAUCGAGAGAUUGUAAGGGUUGUUGAAGACGACGACGUAGAUAGGUGGG